This 301-nucleotide ribosomal RNA is filed under the name uncultured bacterium. RNAcentral describes it as "partial 16S ribosomal RNA". It matches the Rfam family "Bacterial small subunit ribosomal RNA", at positions 509 to 808 of the family's 1533-position model. The record is from RNAcentral.
CAGUCGCCGCGGUAAUACCGGGGAUGCAAGCGUUAUCCGGAAUGAUUGGGCGUAAAGCGAGCGCAGGCGGUUAGAAAAGUCUGAAGUGAAAGGCAGUGGCUCAACCAUUGUAGGCUUUGGAAACUGUUUAACUUGAGUGCAGAAGGGGAGAGUGGAAUUCCAUGUGUAGCGGUGAAAUGCGUAGAUAUAUGGAGGAACACCGGUGGCGAAAGCGGCUCUCUGGUCUGUAACUGACGCUGAGGCUCGAAAGCGUGGGGAGCGAACAGGAUUAGAUACCCCAGUAGUCCCUGUCUCUUAUACA